CCGGUGAUGCCAUGAUGCCGCCAUCGCCUGCGCGACCGGGUCGUAGGCCGCCAGUCGGCGUAGGGGCUGCGGCCGCUGCGCGGGUCGCCGAAGCCGCGCAUCGCGGCAUACACCAGGCGCGGGUUCUCGGCGAUCAGCGCCUCGUAGCCAGGCCAGCCGUUCCAUCACGCCGCAGCGGUAGUUCUCGACCAGCACGUCGG
This 200-nucleotide ribosomal RNA is filed under the name uncultured eukaryote. Its description in RNAcentral is "partial 18S ribosomal RNA". The record is from RNAcentral.